AUACGUAGGUGACAAGCGUUAUCCGGAUUUACUGGGUGUAAAGGGCGUGUAGGCGGUUUAGCAAGUCAGAAGUGAAAUUCCCGGGCUUAACUUGGGCGCUGCUUCUGAAACUGCUUUACUUGAGUGCUGGAGAGGAUAGUGGAAUUCCUAGUGUAGCGGUAAAAUGCGCAGAUAUUAGGAGGAACACCGGUGGCGAAGGCGGCUAUCUGGACAGUAACUGACGCUGAGGCGCGAAAGCACGGGGAGCAAACAGGAUUAGAUACCCUGGUAGUCCGUGCUGUAAACGAUGAAUACUAGGUGUAGGGGGUAUCGACUCCCUCUGUGCCGCAGUUAACACAAUAAGGAUUCCGCCUGGGGAGUACGGCCGCAAGGUUGAAACUCAAAGGAAUUGACGGGG
RNAcentral lists this ribosomal RNA (397 nucleotides) under uncultured bacterium. RNAcentral's name for it is "partial 16S ribosomal RNA". It matches the Rfam family "Bacterial small subunit ribosomal RNA", at positions 523 to 918 of the family's 1533-position model. The record is from RNAcentral.